GUGUCAGCAGCCGCGGUAAUACGUAGGCAGCGAGCGUUGUUCGGAGUUACUGGGCGUAAAGGGUGCGUAGGCGGUCCCUUAAGUUUGGUGUGAAAUCUCCCGGCUCAACUGGGAGGGUGCGCCGGAUACUGAGGGACUUGGAGUGCGGGAGAGGAAAGUGGAAUUCCUGGUGUAGCGGUGAAAUGCGUAGAUAUCAGGAGGAACACCGGUGGUGUAAACGGCUUUCUGGACCGUAACUGACGCUGAGGCACGAAAGCGUGGGGAGCAAACAGGAUUAGAAACCCCCGUAGUCC
RNAcentral lists this ribosomal RNA (293 nucleotides) under uncultured bacterium. RNAcentral's name for it is "partial 16S ribosomal RNA". It matches the Rfam family "Bacterial small subunit ribosomal RNA", at positions 505 to 796 of the family's 1533-position model. The record is from RNAcentral.